Molecule: unclassified non-coding RNA, 253 nt
Filed under: uncultured Rhodobacterales bacterium
Lineage: Bacteria; Pseudomonadati; Pseudomonadota; Alphaproteobacteria; Rhodobacterales
Description: contains 16S-23S intergenic spacer region
Rfam family: Bacterial small subunit ribosomal RNA
Source: RNAcentral
UACGUAGGUGGCAAGCGUUGUCCGGAAUUACUGGGCGUAAAGCGCACGUAGGCGGAUCAGUCAGUCAGAGGUGAAAUCCCAGGGCUCAACCCUGGAACUGCCUUUGAUACUGCUGGUCUAGAGAUCGAGAGAGGUGAGUGGAAUUCCGAGUGUAGAGGUGAAAUUCGUAGAUAUUCGGAGGAACGCCAGUGGCGAAGGCGGCUCACUGGCUCGAUACUGACGCUGAGGUGCGACAGCGUGGGUAGCAAACAGG